GAUGAACGCUGGCGGCGUGCCUAAUACAUGCAAGUCGAGCGAACAGACGAGGAGCUUGCUCCUCUGACGUUAGCGGCGGACGGGUUAGUAACACGUGGAUAACCUACCUAUAAGACUGGGAUAACUUCGGGAAACCGGAGCUAAUACCGGAUAAUAUAUUGAACCGCAUGGUUCAAUAGUGAAAGACGGUUUUGCUGUCACUUAUAGAUGGAUCCGCGCCGCAUUAGCUAGUUGGUAAGGUAACGGCUUACCAAGGCAACGAUGCGUAGCCGACCUGAGAGGGUGAUCGGCCACACUGGAACUGAGACACGGUCCAGACUCCUACGGGAGGCAGCAGUAGGGAAUCUUCCGCAAUGGGCGAAAGCCUGACGGAGCAAUGCCGCGUGAGUGAUGAAGGUCUUCGGAUCGUAAAACUCUGUUAUUAGGGAAGAACAAAUGUGUAAGUAACUAUGCACGUCUUGACGGUACCUAAUCAGAAAGCCACGGCUAACUACGUG
RNAcentral lists this ribosomal RNA (497 nucleotides) under uncultured bacterium. RNAcentral describes it as "partial 16S ribosomal RNA". It matches the Rfam family "Bacterial small subunit ribosomal RNA", at positions 28 to 507 of the family's 1533-position model. The record is from RNAcentral.